RNAcentral lists this transfer RNA (74 nucleotides) under candidate division WWE3 bacterium RIFCSPHIGHO2_01_FULL_40_23. RNAcentral describes it as "tRNA-Gln". It matches the Rfam family "tRNA". From Rfam's summary of the family: Transfer RNA (tRNA) molecules are approximately 80 nucleotides in length. RNAcentral also lists the same sequence under 1 other name. Lineage: Bacteria; candidate division WWE3. The record is from RNAcentral.
UGGGGGGUCGUAUAACGGUAGUACAGCGCCCUCUGGAGGCGUUUAUCGGGGUUCGAAUCCCUGCCCCCCAGCCA